GCCGAAUGAACUAGCCCUGAAAAUGGAUGGCGCUCAAGCGUGUUACCCAUACCUCGCCGUCAGCGUUAAUGUGAUGCGCUGACGAGUAGGCAGGCGUGGAGAUUUGUGAAGAAGCCUUGGCAGUGAUGCUGGGUGAAACGGCCUCUAGUGCAGAUCUUGGUGGUAGUAGCAAAUACUCAAAUGAGAACUUUGAGGACUGAAGUGGGGAAAGGUUCCGUGUGAACAGCAGUUGGACACGGGUCAAUCGAUCCUAAGAGAUAGGGUAAUUCCGUUUUAAUGUCGGCGCUUGCGCCGCGCCCUCGAAAGGGAAACCAGUUAAAAUUCUGGUAUCUG
RNAcentral lists this ribosomal RNA (333 nucleotides) under Thalassiosira rotula. RNAcentral describes it as "partial Eukaryotic large subunit ribosomal RNA". It matches the Rfam family "Eukaryotic large subunit ribosomal RNA", at positions 1296 to 1627 of the family's 3401-position model. Lineage: Eukaryota; Bacillariophyta; Thalassiosirophyceae; Thalassiosirales; Thalassiosiraceae. The record is from RNAcentral.